Caenorhabditis elegans is the source of this 245-nucleotide small nucleolar RNA. Lineage: Eukaryota; Metazoa; Nematoda; Chromadorea; Rhabditida; Rhabditidae. The record is from Ensembl.
CACAGAUAGAAAAAUGUCAAAAGGGGAAAUGAAGUGGUUGAACAGAAUAGAAAUGGACAUAGAGAACUUGAUGAGCAACUAAAUUGCACCAACGGACAUCUGGUUGCAUAUUUACAACUAUGGGGAGACACGAGAAUGCUCUAUAAUAUGUCUAAAAAUUAUGAUCGAAUGCCGAUCGAAAGUUUCUUUUUUCAUGAACUUGCUAAAGUCGGUUAUGAUUAAAGAUCACUAAGCGAUAAGUUAAA